This 78-nucleotide small nucleolar RNA is filed under the name Castor canadensis (American beaver). RNAcentral describes it as "Small nucleolar RNA U2-19 (ENSCCNG00000013439.1)". It matches the Rfam family "Small nucleolar RNA U2-19". Rfam says of the family: U2-19 is a member of the C/D class of snoRNA which contain the C (UGAUGA) and D (CUGA) box motifs. Lineage: Eukaryota; Metazoa; Chordata; Mammalia; Rodentia; Castoridae. The record is from Rfam by way of RNAcentral.
GAUCAAUGAUGAAAAUAGCCAAAUCUGAGUAUCAGAAGACCUCAGUCUGCCUGACACAUGAUCUCUAGAGUUCUGAGA